CGGGUGAGUAACGUGUGGGCAACCUGCCCUGCACUGGGGAAUAAUCAUUGGAAACGAUGACUAAUACCGCACACGGUUCCUGGGAGGCAUCUUCCGGGAAAGAAAGGAUUUAUUCGGUGCAGGAUGGGCCCGCAUCUGAUUAGCUAGUUGGUGAGAUAACAGCCCACCAAGGCGACGAUCAGUAGCCGACCUGAGAGGGUGACCGGCCACAUUGGGACUGAGACACGGCCCAAACUCCUACGGAAGGCAGCAG
RNAcentral lists this ribosomal RNA (253 nucleotides) under uncultured bacterium. RNAcentral's name for it is "partial 16S ribosomal RNA". It matches the Rfam family "Bacterial small subunit ribosomal RNA", at positions 103 to 354 of the family's 1533-position model. The record is from RNAcentral.